RNAcentral lists this ribosomal RNA (497 nucleotides) under uncultured bacterium. RNAcentral's name for it is "partial 16S ribosomal RNA". It matches the Rfam family "Bacterial small subunit ribosomal RNA", at positions 28 to 507 of the family's 1533-position model. The record is from RNAcentral.
GAUGAACGCUGGCGGCGUGCCUAAUACAUGCAAGUAGAACGCUGAAGCUUGGUGCUUGCACCGAGCGGAUGAGUUGCGAACGGGUGAGUAACGCGUAGGUAACCUGCCUCUUAGCGGGGGAUAACUAUUGGAAACGAUAGCUAAUACCGCAUAAAAGUCGACAUCGCAUGAUGUUGACUUGAAAGGUGCAAUUGCAUCACUAAGAGAUGGACCUGCGUUGUAUUAGCUAGUUGGUGAGGUAACGGCUCACCAAGGCGACGAUACAUAGCCGACCUGAGAGGGUGAUCGGCCACACUGGGACUGAGACACGGCCCAGACUCCUACGGGAGGCAGCAGUAGGGAAUCUUCGGCAAUAGGGGCAACCCUGACCGAGCAACGCCGCGUGAGUGAAGAAGGUUUUCGGAUCGUAAAGCUCUGUUGUAAGAGAAGAACGAGUGUGAGAGUGGAAAGUUCACACUGUGACGGUAACUUACCAGAAAGGGACGGCUAACUACGUG